This 493-nucleotide long non-coding RNA is filed under the name Equus caballus (horse). RNAcentral describes it as "lncRNA (ENSECAG00000057224.1)". Lineage: Eukaryota; Metazoa; Chordata; Mammalia; Perissodactyla; Equidae. The record is from RNAcentral.
CGAAGAGAGGAGGCGGCCCCGCGGCUCCCCACGAGCCCGCGCCCGGAGCUCCGGAGGGUCACGCUGGCCCGCGGGGGUCUCCAGCCGGCCGCCGGGCCUGCGUGGGCAGCGUCGUGGGGAGUCCAGGGCACUCCGCAUAAAGACACUUUGAGAGAAUUUUCCUCCACAUCCUUCAGGAAAUCUGGACCAAAAGCUGGCCAGAGGCAGGAGCACCCCACAUCCCUCAGCCCUGAGCAGAAGCAGGCUUCCCAGGCCCACCUUGUCCUAACCCUGGUACCCACGAUAGCACCAGAGACUGCAAUCUCCAAGUGUCGCCGUGGAGAGCAAACAAGACACCACACGGACAACCUUAACACAGUGCCUGACAGAAAGCAAGUGCUGGAUAAAUGCUAGCGCACUGCUGCGGGAGCCUCUCCACUUCUGUUUACAUCUCCUGCCCCAACACUCUAGCACACACGAGUUCUCCUAACUGAGCCCCAGCAGUGCUCUGAAG